AGGUUAUUGACAAAGUGCCCGCAGCAGUGAAAACAGGUAGAUCAUAAAGACGCCGUAUUCCCUUUGUAAAAAUAAGCGUCCCUGAUGGCUCGAGCCGCUCCAUCCGUGGCGCGGACGCUUU
RNAcentral lists this non-coding RNA (121 nucleotides) under Yersinia enterocolitica. Lineage: Bacteria; Pseudomonadati; Pseudomonadota; Gammaproteobacteria; Enterobacterales; Yersiniaceae. The record is from RNAcentral.